This 253-nucleotide ribosomal RNA is filed under the name uncultured bacterium. Its description in RNAcentral is "partial 16S ribosomal RNA". It matches the Rfam family "Bacterial small subunit ribosomal RNA", at positions 524 to 776 of the family's 1533-position model. The record is from RNAcentral.
UACGUAGGGUGCAGGCGUUAAUCGGAAUUACUGGGCGUAAAGCGUGCGCAGGCGGCUUCCUAAGUCAGAUGUGAAAUCCCCGGGCUUAACCUGGGAACUGCGUUUGAAACUGGGAGGCUAGAGUGCGGCAGAGGGGGGUGGAAUUCCGCGUGUAGCAGUGAAAUGCGUAGAUAUGCGGAGGAACACCGAUGGCGAAGGCAAUCCCCUGGGCCUGCACUGACGCUCAUGCACGAAAGCGUGGGGAGCAAACAGG